AUUGAACGCUGGCGGCAGGCCUAACACAUGCAAGUCGAGCGGAUGACGGGAGCUUGCUCCUUGAUUCAGUGGCGGACGGGUGAGUAAUGCCUAGGAAUCUGCCUGGUAGUGGGGGACAACGUUUCGAAAGGAACGCUAAUACCGCAUACGUACUACGGGAGAAAGCAGGGGACCUUCGGGCCUUGCGCUAUCAGAUGAGCCUAGGUCGGAUUAGCUAGUUGGUGGGGUAAUGGCUCACCAAGGCGACGAUCCGUAACUGGUCUGAGGGGAUGAUCAGUCACACUGGAACUGAGACACGGUCCAGACUCCUACGGGAGGCAGCAGUGGGGAAUAUUGGACAAUGGGCGAAAGCCUGAUCCAGCCAUGCCGCGUGUGUGAAGAAGGUCUUCGGAUUGUAAAGCACUUUAAGUUGGGAGGAAGGGCAGUAAGUUAAUACCUUGCUGUUUUGACGUUACCGACAGAAUAAGCACCGGCUAACUCUGUGCCAGCCGCCGCGGUAA
RNAcentral lists this ribosomal RNA (500 nucleotides) under uncultured bacterium. RNAcentral describes it as "partial 16S ribosomal RNA". It matches the Rfam family "Bacterial small subunit ribosomal RNA", at positions 30 to 523 of the family's 1533-position model. The record is from RNAcentral.